GGAGGGUCGGAUGUCUGUUUGGCUGUGGGCAGGAGAGGAGGACGCUGAGCUUGUUUCUGAACUGAAGCAAUUGAAGUAUGUGUUUAGUUCAUUGGCUCUGUCUGGAAAUCCAUCAGUCUCCUACUGCUUGAAGCCUGUGAUCGUCUUCAUCCCUGACCGCACCAUUUGUAUUUAAUCCCCUUAGUUAGAUGAACUAACCAUCAUAAAGACAUAGGAGCGCACCAGCCAGGUCUGGGACACAGUUGUGGAGAAGCUUAAAAACAAUACAAUGGUUGUGAAUGCCCCGUUAAGCUAUUUUAAGGCAUUAUUCAGAAAUGCAAAGAUCACAGCAGAACUGCAAACCUACACGUCUGACUUAAACUGACAGAUGAGGCAAAAAGUGUAUGAUUCAGACAAGCAGCCAAGAGGUCCAAGGUAACUCAGGAGGAGCUACAGAGAUACAGAACUCAAGUGGGAGAAUCUGCAUGCCUACUUGUGCUCUCCACAAAUCUGACCUUUAUGAAGGGAAUCCGUUGUUGAAAAAAAAAGCAAUAAGCUUUUUUAAAGUUUGAAUUAGGUUCUCAAGAUACCAGAAAUGGGUCUGAACAGUGCAUGACUAAGGAUGGGUUCUAGCUCAUUGGAUGUUUCUUCUGGGGAGAACUGUUGAGAUAGGACAUCAGGUUUGAUGUUUCUGGAACCUGGGCAAUAAGUGACGAAGAAACUGAAACAAAAGAAAAAAACAGUGACCAACGGGAUUGAUUGAAUUAAACGUCUUAGCUGUCUGGAGGUAGGAGAAGUUCUUGUUGUCUGUCCAAACAAUUAUAGGCUGCUCCGUGCCCUCCAGAUAGUGUCUCUAUUACUGUAGUGAUAGCUUGAUAGCAAGAGGACCCAAUCCCCAAUGUAAUAAUGUCUUUGGCGAGAAACGUUUUUAAAAGAAAGCACGUGGAUGGAGCGUAUAAUCAGAGGACGAUCUUUAGUAGAGUACAGCAUCUAGGCCAGAAUCUGAAGCGAUGACCUCCAAACUGAAUUUAAUGGAAAGAUCUGAAUGGGUCUGGAUAGGAGCUGAGGAGAAUCUUUCCUUAAGUUCAGAGAAGGCGUGUUCUGCUUCAGGUAACCAGAGAAAAGGUUUCUUAGUGGAGGGUCGGGGAUCACCUGUCCACCCUGGAAAACAAAGUCUAGGAAGGUUAUCAACUUAGUGGGAACUCACAUUUUUCCGCUUCUACAAAGAGAUGGUUUUUGACUGACCUCUAGAUGACCAAUCUCACAUGGGAUCGACGAUCCUCUAGAAUUCAAGAAGAGAUCAAGAUAUCAUCCAAGUAGGUGAAGACAAAAAUGUUCAAAAAGUCUCUAGGAACAUCAUUUACAAGAGCCUAAAUGACUGCAGGGGCAUCAGUUAGGCCAAAUGGCAUCACAAGGCAUUCAUAAUGGAUCUCUCUCUACGUCUAAGGCUUAUUCAUCUUUAAGUUUGUCAUUUAAUGAAUUGAGGAAGGUUCCUCUUAGGGCAGGUGAGUUCUAGUCUGCUUCUGCCACCAGGGUACGGAAGUCUAUGGCCAUAGAUCUGUUUCCUUGUUUAAGGUUUCAUAAUCUUUUUGCCAUUUUCUCAUCACUAACUUUGUACACAAAGGUCUGUUUCAAGAGGUCUAGAAACUCAGCAUAAAAUAAGAGAUUUAUUGUAGUUAUAUAUAUGAUUUCCUUCGCCCACCUGAGCCUAGUACCUGAGUAGACCGAUAAACUAAGAAAUAUUACUGGAGUCAUCGGGAAAUGAGCAAGGAGAUCAGUAGAACACCAGGGAACACUGAAACAGGAAACCCCGACAUCUACCAAGCUCCCUUGAAAAAAGUUCUGAAGUCAGGGAGACAGCGCUUUGGACGACAAAAAAGGCAGCAUCAGGUGGAGAAGCGGGAUUAGUGUAAAAAGAGGGGAAAAUACAUGGAGUGGGGUUAGUCCGAGGAGGCGGAAGUCUUAAAUCAUCUGGAAACCUAAUCUAGAUUUUGAGCCAUUGUUGUCUGUUGUUGUAUGAGGGACUGCAGAAUGGAAUCGUGAUGACCAAGCAAAACACCUCGUUGACAGAAAUCUGUCCAUAUUUUGGGACACAGAGUCAGAAUGUCAUGUUGGUUUGCGGCUUGACUCUAGUUCAGACAACAAUUACAGACACCGUGUAGCAAUUUAACAGAUUAAGCCAAUACAAUGAAUGGCAGAAUGGAUCUUCUGGGUUACCGGCAGGAUUCUCGUUGGACACUGAGGAGAAGAUGUAAGCAUUAUUGACUUGACCAUGAGAUGAUGAAUAAGGAACUGACAGAUAGAGAAGGAUCCUUAAUGUUAGCAGUGAGGGAUGGAUCCAGGGAGAGGUGGGCAGAGCUAAAUAAGCGGAGUUCGGCUGGUGGUGGUGAACAGUGGUUUGGUGAUGAUGUCUCUUUGUUUGUUUCCUUUCAGAAAGAGGAGUGUAGACAACCGAAUAGCGGACGGUGGACAGGUAGGCGAGUAUGAGGUAAGCUGCUGAGCGUUGAGAUGGGUGGAUAUCAGGAGGACAACCAGAAGAACUGCAAGGAGAUUAGUGGAGGGAAUCUCGAGAGGAUUUCUCCAAUAGCUGCAGGAAUGAGGAUGCAGAGCACAGGAGCGUGAGAGCUUGAGAAGAGGCAUGGAGUGGUUCUCCUGGAAAGUGGGACAAAACACAGAUUAGAGUAAACACCUGAAUAACAACAACAAUGCAGAGAAGAUUGCCCUGAUUACCAUGCUUGGUGAGCAAACCACCUGGCAUCUGCCUCUUCUUCUUUUUUUCUAGGAUCGCAAACAGCUAAAAGGUGCCACCUACUGUACAUGAGUGUGUAACAUCCACAACGUCAACUCAUCAAAUUCUGCUUUUUGGUUUCAUAUUAUACAGAUUUAUGAACAAUGCUUUUCUAAAUAGAUUGGUUUUCUCUUUGUUCCCUUCAGAUCCCAAUAUUCCUUCUAAACUCCAUUCAGAUUUAGAAUCAGAAUCAGCUUUAUUGUCAAGUUUGAACAGACAAACAAGAAAUUUGACUCCGGUACACUUUGCUAAAGAAUAUAUUUUAAAAUGUACACAUAUAUAUACACUUGUCCUGCCUCUGUUACUGUUUCCAGCAAUCUUUCUCUUUCAUUUGUAAACACUUUAUAGUUCAACAAUAUAUGUUCAACAUUUUCUUUUUCUCAACAUCCCUCACAUUAAUCAUUGUUUUUUUUCUCCCAAUUACAUUGGGCAUGUCAUUUAGACAGGUAUGACCUACCCUCAUUCUCAUCAUUAUCACUUCUUCUCUUCUGCUUCUCUCUCCAUAGUUCUUUGUUAGUACCCAUUUCUGUAUUUUGUAUAAAUUUCUUCCUUUCUUAUCUUCAUUCCGCCUUUUUAGCCAAGUUUUUUAUGUAUUUUCUUUUGAUUAUGGAUUUACCCCUCCAUUCCUAAAAGGAAUGGCAUCUGCCUUGUGCUUUCUGUUCCUUUUUUUGCUCCUCCUGUUUUCUCCUGACGAGUUGCAGCUCCGGGGCCACACCUGCAAGUCAUACCCUGCAAAGAAGAGUAUCUCUAAAUUCCUAGCGUUGCUAAGGUGCUUUGGGAGGGGAUUAACAGACGCUGGCGCCGAUGAGCAAGCCUCGCAGAUUUCCAACCAGCAGGAAAAGAGACAAAGAAAGACGGGAAAGACGGAGGAAGAGCAGCGGCGGGUUAGACAACAGGGAGACGGCAGUAACAGCUUGUGUAAACAUGAUGACUUAAGAGACGUAAGGAGGAGUACGACGACAGAACAGGCACAUCACCGUCGGAGGAAGUCGAAAAGCAUGCGUCUGUAUAUUUGUACACCAUCCAGAGACAGGUGUUUGAGACCUUGUCCGGGCCUCGGCAGCUGGGUUCCUGUAACCGUGCCCGUCUUUGCGAGGGGUUGGC
Molecule: long non-coding RNA, 3871 nt
Organism: Girardinichthys multiradiatus
Lineage: Eukaryota; Metazoa; Chordata; Actinopteri; Cyprinodontiformes; Goodeidae
Exons: 4
Source: RefSeq, a predicted model, not a curated record